AGAGGCCAUCUCAUGCCAUUAAUUUCUAAGCAGUCAAUGAGGAAUUCUGCUGUAGAAUUAAUGGCAAAAUAUGGCCCAC
This 79-nucleotide microRNA precursor is filed under the name Columba livia (rock pigeon). RNAcentral's name for it is "microRNA cli-mir-9648 precursor". The record is from miRBase by way of RNAcentral. Lineage: Eukaryota; Metazoa; Chordata; Aves; Columbiformes; Columbidae.